GACGGAGGGCGCAAGCGUUGUUCGGAAUUACGGGGCGUAAAGCGCGGGCAGGCGGUCUGUUAAGUCGUUUGUGAAAACCCGGGACUCAACCCCGGGAAUGCAGACGAUACUGGCAGGCUGGAGACUGGUAGAGGCUAGCGGAAUUCCUGGUGUAGCGGUGGAAUGCGUAGAUAUCAGGAAGAACACCUGUGGCGAAGGCGGCUAGCUGGGCCAGUUCUGACGCUCAUCCGCGAAAGCGUGGGGAGCAAACAGG
This 253-nucleotide ribosomal RNA is filed under the name uncultured bacterium. Its description in RNAcentral is "partial 16S ribosomal RNA". It matches the Rfam family "Bacterial small subunit ribosomal RNA", at positions 524 to 776 of the family's 1533-position model. The record is from RNAcentral.